AUUACGUCAAGCGGCUUACCCUCCCAAGCCGCUUUAAUCGGACGGGCAGGACACCUCCCAGGCUGUCGGUCAAUAUAGAAGCCCGGCGCCCUCCCCCCAGAGCCGGGCUUUUUAC
RNAcentral lists this small RNA (115 nucleotides) under Phyllobacterium endophyticum. Its description in RNAcentral is "ar14". It matches the Rfam family "Alphaproteobacterial ar14". From Rfam's summary of the family: Smr14C2 was renamed NfeR1 (Nodule Formation Efficiency RNA) highly expressed in salt stress and during the symbiotic interaction on legume roots. The record is from RNAcentral. Lineage: Bacteria; Pseudomonadati; Pseudomonadota; Alphaproteobacteria; Hyphomicrobiales; Phyllobacteriaceae.